This 642-nucleotide ribosomal RNA is filed under the name uncultured fungus. RNAcentral's name for it is "eukaryotic LSU rRNA". It matches the Rfam family "Eukaryotic large subunit ribosomal RNA", at positions 38 to 667 of the family's 3401-position model. The record is from RNAcentral. Lineage: Eukaryota; Fungi.
GCAUACAAUAAGCGGAGGAAAAGAAACUAACAAGGAUUCCCCUAGUAACGGCGAGUGAAGCGGGAAGAGCUCAAAUUUGAAAUCUGGUGGCCUCAGGUCAUCCGAGUUGUAAUCUAUAGAAGUGUUUUCCGUGCUGGCUCAUGUACAAGUCCCUUGGAACAGGGCGUCAUAGAGGGUGAGAAUCCCGUCCUUGACAUGAACUACCAGUGCUCUGUGAUACAUUUUCAACGAGUCGAGUUGUUUGGGAAUGCAGCUCAAAAUGGGUGGUAAAUUCCAUCUAAAGCUAAAUAUUGGCGAGAGACCGAUAGCGAACAAGUACCGUGAGGGAAAGAUGAAAAGCACUUUGGAAAGAGAGUUAAACAGUAUGUGAAAUUGUUAAAAGGGAAACGAUUGAAGUCAGUCGUGCUCUUUGGAUUCAGCCGGUUCUGCCGGUGUACUUCCUUUGAGUGGGGUCAACAUCAGUUUUGAUCGCUGGAUAAAGGCUGGAGGAACGUAGCACCCCCGGGUGAACUUAUAGCCUCCUGUCACAUACAGUGGUUGGGACUGAGGAACGCAGCACGCCUUUAUGGCCAGGAUCCGUCCAUGUACGUGCUUAGGAUGUUGACAUAAUGGCUUUAAACGACCCGUCUUGAAACACGGACC